Molecule: long non-coding RNA, 3556 nt
Organism: Drosophila yakuba
Lineage: Eukaryota; Metazoa; Arthropoda; Insecta; Diptera; Drosophilidae
Exons: 2
Source: RefSeq, a predicted model, not a curated record
UUCAAUUUGUUUAUUUGCUUGUAUCUAUGGCAUUUACAACAAAAAUAUAAGAGUAUUGAAAUAUAAAUGAGGAGAUUCAUUAGUUUAGAAUUGUGUUCUUCCUGUUUUUGCAUCUUAACUAUAGCAACGAAUAUAAAAAGAGUUCGAAAUUCAAAUGAAGUAGACCGCCGAUAAAGUUUACCCGUAAAUCGACCCUCGCCCAACGCUAACCACCCACUCACAGGCUGAAGAAGCCACUGAGGAUAAUGGACGAGGAUGGGCAGGGGCUUACACGCAACAGCGCCGCCGGCGACAUGGCACACAAUUUGUGCGCUGCAAUAAAAUAAAAUUAAAAUUUGAAACAACUAAGGCAGCAGCAACAUUGAAACAUUCAUUCAAAGUGGCGAGCAGAGGGCAGGGAGCAGAGAGUGGUGCGCAAGAAUUCAGUGGGAAACUGUUUUGUAUAAAUAUGUAUAUAUAUAUAUAUAUAUAUGAGUGUGCAGCACACUGGGCGUAUGAGUGAUGAGCGAUAUUCUUUUGUUGCCUUUCUACUCUCCUAUCCUUUGGAGUAUGGGAUAGCAUUAUAAUCUCUCUUUGCUGCGUUCAUUUCACUCGUGAUUACGAUAAGACAGUAAUUACAUUUAUCUGCUGCUGGCAGCAUUCGACACCAGCAGCUGAGGGCAAAGCCAACACUUGGCGGCUUUAAUCGCGACCACAUUGCGUAUGCGUAAUAUAUGCAAACGCGUUGCGUAUACGUCAUGUUGUGCCAGCGUUUGUCCAAGGUGAGUGCAUAGAAUUAGUUAAAUUAUCAGCGGAUGGCCUUCGGGUGCUAACUGCUGCGACUAACGCAGCAUGAAAUUGCCGCAGAGAGUGGAGAGAAGCGGCAUUUGCGAAUAUUCAUAUGUACAUAUAUAGUAUUUCGCAUAGGUCAAGGACAUCGUGGCAAUUGUUUAUGAGUGAUUAGAAACGGCCUGACAAGUGCCCCGAUCGUACGUAAAUGACGUCAGCAGCUUGUAAAACCUUUCCAUGCGUGAUAACCCAAUUAAAUUGAGCACAUGGAGAAUGAAGAAUAUAUUAAAGACGACAAGAACUGCGUAGGAAACCUGAAUAAUCGAGGCAGGGGUAAAGUGUUUUGUCACCCAAGAGAUUGAUGAUUCAAUUAAGGCAAAAAGUGAAAAGAAAGGCAACAGCAAAAAGGAUCAAGUGCAGACCUUUUGCCCAACCCACCGUUUUGUUCAGUGUGUUUCUUAUGUUUGAGGCAAAAGAAAAAAAAGCGAGGGCGUACAAUAAUUAAUCAAUAAUUACGCUUUGCGUGAGCGAAGGGAGAACCAGAGACCUGGGUGGCAAAUAAAACAAUAUUCAUUUAUUUGCGGCUGCCUAUGGCACCUGGCCCCACCUCCUUCUCCACCGCUCCACGCCCCCUCGAGAGCCGCCCUCUUUCAAUGUCAGACCAGCAAAAGCAACAAUAACAACAAUUAUUAUUGAUUACAUGUCAGUUGUAUUGAGUUUGCGGGAAAGAGGCAGUAGUCACUGUCCCUGCCCACCUACCACGUGUCCCCGUCUAUCUAAUUGUAUUCCUCUGCCUGUUUUUUAUCAAAUUCAAUUAGACGCACGACUAUAACUGUAAUUGUGUGUUAGCCGUCAGAUAGAAAAUGUAUAUACACUUACGUAUAAAAAGGGGGUACAGAUGUGGAGUCAAUAAAGCGUUUGUUAUUUUGUUGUCUUUGUUAUCAGGACACAUGAAAACUGGAAAUGCACCAAUGGUCGAUGGUGCUGAUGAUGAUAUAACUGACUGAAACUAGCACAAAACUCGUUUCCAUACUCAAAUGGGGUGCAUAUUCUUAACCCAUUUUCGCAGAAACCCAAACAAAACAAAUUAAAAAACAGUAAAAACCACACACAAAAGAAAAGGGCUGAGAAACUUCUAGGGAAAAGUUGAAAAAAAAAACUAUGAAUCGGGGAGCCGAGCCGCAUAAAUAUGAAUCUAAUAACUCUCUUUGUUUGCUCUAUCUCGUCUUGGCUCUUAUCGCUUCGCAUUCGCCAGCUGUUGUUUGGCUUUAGCCUGCGACCAAGUUUUGUUUUAGUUUUCUGGCCCAUUGUCAGCAGCAACAACCUCACAACUGGCGUCAAUAAGUUUUCCUUAUUUUUUUCUUAAUGAUUCCAUGCCGAUAAGCCCUCAAGGGGGCAGCACUCGUUGUUGUCGGUUUGUUGUGCUUCCCCUUUAAAAAUUUGUUAUCAUCGAGAAAUGUAUGUACUCACGUACGUAUCCCUAGAUUAAAUUGAAUCAAUGAAUUUUAAUUCGCAAAAAUUCGAUAGCAAGUUCGAUGUAUGUACAUGGUCAUAUAAACUAGUUGCCCUGCAUUCUUUUUAUCGUUUGUCGCGUUUGAAAUUUUGCAUGAAGUCAUUCCGCACCGUCGAAUGCAUGUGUGUACAUAGCACCUGCCCAUAAAUAACCGGCGGUAAACAACGAGCAACGAGGAACGGCAUAAAAACGAAAACCAAAACCAAAACGGAAAAUUUCAAUUUUCAUUGUGCAGCGUUUUUCCAUGUUCAAUUCUAUUUUAUUUGCCCAUAAAUACGGAAUGAAAAUUGCUGGUUACUGUGCGGGACAGUCGGACAGAUAGCUAGAAUGGGGGUUGCUGGAAAAGUCAGCGUUUAUCUCACAGAUACACACCGCAUAAGAACGUGAAAUAGCAUAUACCUCGACCAUUAGAUGCGCUUUGAUCAAGUGGAAAGAUGUGAUAAGGGAAACCCGUUUCGCAUAGUAUAAAAAGUGCACUUGAGCACUGGCUUAAUCAACCUUUUGUGUAUCUUUAGAAAAAUAUACAUAUCCCCAACGCUGGAGCUUAUACACAUCCGAAGCGUAACGAGAAGUUUGUCUUAUAGGGAAAUGUUCCCAUCAGAGAGAAAUGCACAUCGACAAUAAAACGCAAAAAAAGCAAACAAACAAACGAUCGGCACACGAUACCAAUAAAAGGAAAGAAAAACAACUGCUUGGCUGGGAAAGAGAGAUAAUGGCGGGCAGCAAGUAAGAUCGCCUGAUCCUGAUCGAGAACAUACAAUAUACUUUAUGAGGUCGCGCGAGAACAAAAUGCCCUCGCAUUCCACUAGAACGCGUUCUGGGGAAAGAGUAGCGAAAAUAAACAGCGGCUACACUUUUUUGAAAGCAACAACGACAACGAAAAUAAUUGCACAAAUGAAACUGAGCGAAAAAAGACGCGAAAAAGCAAAAAUUAAAACGAGCACAACGAAGCAGCCGCCGACGUGUGCGUUAUUUAAAUGAUUUUGCCAGUUUGCCAGUUUGCCUCGGUGUGGCUGUCUCAAUUUAAAUGUUUUUUAUAGCCGCCUGCAUUCGGCGACUGCCACUCCUAACAUUUUCAGAGGGGCACUCAGAUUCAAAGGGGCUUCCAAGGGGCCUAAAAAAGCCGACUGAGACCCGUUUGCCAAACUGAGACGGAAAAUCCAAUCCAAUCCAAUACGAACCAAACCAAAACCAAACCGCACCAAAACGAAACGAAAUGAAACGAAGCGAAAAAGUUAAUAAAAUCAACAAACACAAUUAAGGCAAAGGCAGAAA